AUUUAAUCGUUAACAGUAAAUUAUCAAGUAUCUUCAAAUCUACCGCUAUUUAAAAUGUAUAAUUAAUUGGAAUUUGAAGGAAAAUAUAUUUCAACAGUUUGCAACUUUCAUAGUAACAUUGUCCAUGCACACUGAAACGUGAUACGAGAUUUAAUUAAUGCAUUACUUCGUUUAAUUAAUAUUAACGUACGUAAAUUUUCAAUUAUGAAACAGCAAAUAAUACAACGAAAUCCUUAACUGAUAUUAUAUUCUGUCAUGUUUGAAUGUUUCAUAUGAAAAAUAUAAUUUUGAGAAAAACGAAUGCAACGACCUAAAACAAGUGGAGGAUCACGGUAAAGUUGUUUCAUUUUUAAUUUUAUCUUGAUUAUUGUAUUAGUAGAAUUGUGGCUGCGUAAACCAUUUAUUUAACGAAUAUUAUAUUGAAACACAAAUAUAUUUUAGGUUACUUGCUAUUUGCAAUUUACGUCACCAAUUGUUAUUCCACGAUAAUUUAAUCCAUCUGUUCAUUUUCUUCAAACGAUAAUGUUACAAAUACUACAUAAAAGCAUUUCGUAUUACAAAACCUUGGUAAUCGUUAAAUGUAAUUAAGAACUGACGUAUCCAUUUGAUAUCGACAAUAAUUUUUACUUAAAGCUUCGAUAGAGGUAAGAUUCAAUCGUGGAAUUUACCUUGAAGAAAAAAACGAGACAUUGAUACUAUUAUCGUGAAGAGAAAACCUCCCGCGGCUUAAAGCUCUUUCACAAAGCUUCGAGAAACUCAUUUUUCCGAGCUUGUACGCGGCUAUCCAACCAGUGGAGAUUUCCAAGCUCGAUAACUUCUUAUUCACAUCAUUCAGUCACUCUGAAAUUCGUUAUUGACAUUAUAAUAAAUUCAUGAUAUUGAAAUCUCUUUUUUUCAUGUGUUAAUCUAGAUGCUCGUGUAAAAAUGGAAACUCUCUAAAGGGGGAAGUGAUCAUGAUUAUUACGUAAAAGUGCAAAGAUAUACGAAAUGUACACUGAAUGUGAAAAUAUACAGAAUAGAACAUUUAUUACGAUAUUCGGUAAUCGAGACGAAUUUUUGCUUAUGUUUCACUUCUUUAGUUAUUUUUAUGAAAACAUAAAUUUCCAUAAACAUCUUCAGUCUAGUGAUAACAAAUGAUGAAAAACUAUUCCAUCGAAACUGUUGGUUAUUCCAAUGUAUUAGAUAGAUGGACAAAUUUUGUCGGUUCUUCCAUUACAUGAAAUAAAAUAUGAUCGUGUUCAAUAGAAACUAAUUCUGCAGAGUAACUACAGACGUCAUACUUCAAUAAUAUAUAAAAGGACGAUGGCUUUUUUUUUAUUUUAUGUCAAUAAUCGAAGUGGGGAAAUAUCAAAGAAUGAAAUCAUGUGUGUCGUUGUACAAGUUUAAGAAAGGUAGAGGUACAAGCUUGCAAUGGCAUUUAUCCAGCGUAUGGUAAAGCUAUAAAUAAAAGAACAUGCUAGUGAUGGUUUAUUUGUCAUCGCCCUGAGAAUAUUUCGCUUCAAGACCAAUCGCAGUUAAAUGUCAAACGUACUUACUGAUGACUUCAUAAGCUCUAAGGACUAACAAUUCUCUGCAGAGGGAUCAGUUAAGAAAUAGAUGGAAAGGAGUCGUAAAAUUAAAUUGUUAACGCGAAGUAUGAGGUCACAUUUUUUAAAUAAUGGAAAAGUUCGAUGCAACUUAACUAUAAUACAACGAACAAUAAAACAUUAACACGAUGCAUUUUCUUAUGAAAUCUAAUAUGACUGCAUAAUAAGCAAAUGUAGCCUAAAGCUACUGCAGCUACCCGAGGUUUAUUUCAAAGAAAAUUGAAACGAAGUAAGUAUGCAUAGUGUUUGAAGAAUAGUAUGAGAUGCAUUUGUUCCAUUCACAUGUAAGACUGCAGAAAUGAGAAGUUGUGAACCCGAUGGAAUUAAGUAUGAAAAUUUGCUUUAAACAUCAAAUAUAUGGGUAUGGCAGUAAGGAAGAGGCAGGAAAACUAUAAACUUUUAUUGAUUGGGAGAAAUUAAGACAGGAAGGUACAUUAAACUGGUUAAUUCUUUCCCGUCCUUGAUGUUCAAUGUCUAACGAAGGAAAUUAUUCAUGAAGCGAGAUAAGAAGUAGUUAUGAAUUAAAACCAUGCGUGUGCGAUUUUAUUCCUGUGGAAGAAGUAUUAUAUGUAGAGACGAAUAGAAUGUCAGAGACGCAUGCGAUGAAUAAAUAUUAAAUCAUAUACUGUAAAAAUCAAAUAGUUUUGCCAUUCUAGAAAAAUAACUUAUAAUCUACUUGUCAUAGUAUACACUUCAACGCUAUUUAUAUAAAUUUACAAUCUUCACAAUCUCCAAUUUCUUAUAAUACAAUAAAGUACAAAAUAUGUGGCAAUAAAAACGAAUAUAAAUACAAAUGUAAUAUGUCAGUAUCAGGAAUGCAUUGUAUUCGAAGCAAAAAUCCUCUUCUAGCAGAAGAGAAUAUAGGUACGUAAUGGUGCAAUAAGCCUGAUAAAAUAUUAUUCUUCAAAUCAACAUUAAUUGCAACGUAAUAUUUUCCCAAGCCAUUCAGUUUUACUGAGUCACUAACAAACGUUUCGUAAUGGAAACAAUCGGAAUUGAACGACGCUCAUGCAUAUCAUGCAUAUUCAGGACGUAGCGCGAUAAAAAUGACGAAACAUCCCCGGUUCGACGUUACUUAUAUUCCCAGUACGUCCUACGACGAUAUAUCAACGUCGCUAUACCGUUCAACGAAUUUUUCACGCGGAAAAUUGCUUCCCCUCUUACGCAUCUUCCCGAUGUUCUUCGCAGUGCUUCCUAUUUCCAGUCGCAUAAAUACCUUCGCGACCGAAUCAGCCAUUACUCGAGCGAAACUACUGGAAACACAUCUCUGUCUCACGGUUAGAAGCAAAGUCUUUGCUAACUAAUUUACUAUCCCUUUGGAGUAAGCUUUAUGGAUAUUUGAAGUCAUCUCGCUCACACUCGUCCUAAGGCGUAUACUCAAGAUCGUGCAAAGAUGAAGAUGGGCCACAGUAUGGAAUAUAGCAUAGAGGGUGUAUGGGGGAAACAUGAAGGAUAUCCACGAUAGCGUCGUUGGUGAAGCGUGACAAAGCAAGGGUUUGCCACUCGAGGUUGGAGCUAGUGUCGAAGGGGAGUUGGAACGGUUCGUUGGACGCGGUGAGACUCCAUAUACUUCCCUCUGAGGGCUGAGGUUUCCGCGAGCGUAACGCUACCGUGUAAAACAGAUGUAGCUGCGUACUGCGUUUGAAUUUGAAAUGUUCCCUACCUCAAGUCGUAAUAUGAAGGGGAUUUACGAAAGACGUCUAACCGAGGUACUUGAAUCGAGGAUUUUAGGCGGCCGACAGAGAAUAUCUGAAGCCUCUGUAUUGGUAAUUACGCGACCCAGGUCGAUUUAUGUCUGACCUAAAUUAAAUCCUUCCAAGCGUAAAUUUAUCUAUCGGUAUAAGCGGAGGAACGCGACAUGUGGAGUGUAAAAUACAUUCUGCCUUUAAAGUGUUAUUCUGUAGAUAGCGAUAGAAGCAAGAGCGCUGUCACGUGACGAUAGAUAAAAGAUUAAGUUCUUCCGCCGUGUAUAUUAGAGUACAUUAACGGGGGAAUCUAUAAAUGUGACACAGGAAUCGAAUUAAGGAUAUUACCCGUGGAAAAAGUUCUCGCUGCUAACUCGAACCUUUUAUCGAACCCUCUCUCUCUCU
Long non-coding RNA from Bombus pascuorum, 3676 nucleotides. RefSeq lists it as uncharacterized. The record is from RefSeq and is a predicted model, not a curated record. The transcript has 4 exons. NCBI's taxonomy places the organism in Eukaryota, Metazoa, Arthropoda, Insecta, Hymenoptera, Apidae.